RNAcentral lists this ribosomal RNA (261 nucleotides) under uncultured archaeon. Its description in RNAcentral is "partial 16S ribosomal RNA". It matches the Rfam family "Archaeal small subunit ribosomal RNA", at positions 748 to 1009 of the family's 1478-position model. The record is from RNAcentral.
UAGCCGUAAACGAUACUCGCUAGGUGUCGGCCACGGUGCGACCGUUGUCGGUGCCGUAGGGAAGCCGUGAAGCGAGCCACCUGGGAAGUACGGCCGCAAGGCUGAAACUUAAAGGAAUUGGCGGGGGAGCACCGCAACGGGAGGAGCGUGCGGUUCAAUUGGAUUCAACGCCGGACAACUCACCAGGAGCGACGGUUACAUGAAGGCCAGGCCGAUGACCUUGCCUGAUUUUCCGAGAGGAGGUGCAUGGCGUAGUCGUGU